GUCGCCGGCCGCGUGGAUCCCCCGCCCCGUCGCCGGCCCUCCCCCUCAUCCAUGACCCGCCCCGUCGAGGUCCAGGUCCGCGACGGAUCCGCCUAUGCCGGCGUCUUCCACACCACCUGCCUCGACGCCGGAUACGGUGAAUUUGUGUCUAUGCUCCGUGGCGUUGAUCUGUAAAUCUUCCGAUGCUAUUUUGUGCCAUAUGGGCAAACACUAAGUUCUGAGGAAGAGAUGUCAUAUGUGUACCAUAUGGACAAACACUCUACAUUCUAAAGGACGGGCAGAACGUGCAUCCCCUGGUGAGGAGCUUGAUAGGAAGAGAUCUCAAGCGCGAUCUCAAGCGCACGCACUAUACGAGGCUUCAGGAGGAAGGAUUCUAUGAUGUUCUAUUAUCUCCCCUUCUAGAACAGUUUUAACACGGUCCCUCUGUAGUUCUUUCUGUAUAUGUACCUUUCAUAGGGUAUAGUUCAUGGUGAUAAUUCCAUUAUAUUUUUAUCAAUACACCACAUCAAUCUUAUAACUAGCUAGAAGAAACGGCAUACCUCAUGCUCCCAUUUGAGUCUUGUGUGCAAGCUCAUAUUAUGAAAUGAUAUAAGCAUGCUUGAUUCAAGGAAGUUGCUGGUCUGAUGUCACGUUAUACAACUUGUCCUGCUACAUUCCUGAAGUACUAAAAAAAUGGAAAAUAAUGCAUUUCCUCCUAAUUCAUAUUUUUAUUUUUGAUUGUACUACGAAUGUAUAUGAGAUUAUCAUAUAUUUCGUAGAACGAUCGCCCUGGUCGCUGUUUUAUUCCUCUGUUAAUCUAUUUCAAAUAUCUUUAAUCAGAGUCAAAGCAUGACAUAAUAGUUGGGUCUUUACCUGUGUUUUUUCUGCAUCUCCAUCCAGAUUUGUGUCCCAGAUCAUGGAGGAAUUACCCUCUCUGCUGGUGCGUUUACAGUGCAUUAUUUGUAGUUCUAUUGGGAAGACAGUUAGAGACCCCGAGAGGCUGCUGCGAGCUGCUAUUCCCCUCCUCGAGCUGGCGGACUGAUGAUGGAGGACCCGCCCUCUUUGCUGCAUCGGCGCCGCCGCUGCCACUUCUGCUUCUGUUGCCCGUUGGCCCAGGGCGGCGCAUGU
Molecule: long non-coding RNA, 1107 nt
Organism: Triticum dicoccoides
Lineage: Eukaryota; Viridiplantae; Streptophyta; Magnoliopsida; Poales; Poaceae
Exons: 3
Source: RefSeq, a predicted model, not a curated record